AUCGAACGCUGGCGGCAGGCCUAACACAUGCAAGUCGAGCGGCAGCGGGACCUUCGGGUUGCCGGCGAGCGGCGGACGGGUGAGUAAUGCCUAGGAAUCUGCCUGUUAGUGGGGGAUACCGCGGGGAAACUCGCGCUAAUACCGCAUACGUCCUACGGGCGAAAGCGGGGGCUCUCCGGACCUCGCGCUAACAGAUGGGCCUGGUGCGGAUUAGCAAGUUGGUGGGGUAAUGGCUCACCAAGGCGACGAUCCGUACCUGGUCUGCGAGGAUGAUCAGUCACACUGGAACUGAGACACGGGCCAGACGCCUACGGGAGGCAGCAGUGGGGAAUAUUGGACAAUGGGCGAAAGCCUGAUCCAGCCAUGCCGCGUGUGUGAAGAAGGUCUUCGGAUUGUAAAGCACUUUAAGUCGGGAGGAAGGGCUGUAGGUUAAUACCCUGCAGUUUUGACGUUACCGACAGAAUAAGCACCGGCUAACUUCGUGCCAGCAGCCGCCGCAG
Molecule: ribosomal RNA, 500 nt
Filed under: uncultured bacterium
Lineage: Bacteria
Description: partial 16S ribosomal RNA
Rfam family: Bacterial small subunit ribosomal RNA
Source: RNAcentral